This 302-nucleotide ribosomal RNA is filed under the name Salmonella enterica subsp. enterica serovar Enteritidis. Its description in RNAcentral is "partial 23S ribosomal RNA". It matches the Rfam family "Bacterial large subunit ribosomal RNA", at positions 253 to 591 of the family's 2925-position model. The record is from RNAcentral. Lineage: Bacteria; Pseudomonadati; Pseudomonadota; Gammaproteobacteria; Enterobacterales; Enterobacteriaceae.
GCGAACGGGGAGGAGCCCAGAGCCUGAAUCAGCAUGUGUGUUAGUGGAAGCGUCUGGAAAGGCGCGCGAUACAGGGUGACAGCCCCGUACACAAAAGCGCAUGUGCUGUGAGCUCGAUGAGUAGGGCGGGACACGUGGUAUCCUGUCUGAAUAUGGGGGGACCAUCCUCCAAGGCUAAAUACUCCUGACUGACCGAUAGUGAACCAGUACCGUGAGGGAAAGGCGAAAAGAACCCCGGCGAGGGGAGUGAAAAAGAACCUGAAACCGUGUACGUACAAGCAGUGGGAGCACAGGUUUACCUG